Molecule: long non-coding RNA, 898 nt
Organism: Saccostrea cuccullata (small rock oyster)
Lineage: Eukaryota; Metazoa; Mollusca; Bivalvia; Ostreida; Ostreidae
Exons: 5
Source: RefSeq, a predicted model, not a curated record
CACAAGCAUUUCCUCUUUUUCCGCAGCUGACGGAGUGUCCUACACCAUCUUAUUCAUCUCCUUGGACAGUCUGCUGUAUGGUACGGUCACAAAUAUGUCCAAAUACGAUCACUGGUCAGAAAGUCAUUCACUCUGUUGAACUGUGGUGGAAGCAGUAAGGUGUGACCUAUUGGGAUGGACACAGUAUCCAAUACACUGAAGUAACAGGACUCAAAUUUCAUACAUGUUCACAGAGAGAUCUGGCUGUCACCAUUGCUAGAGCUGCCAAUCAAGGAGAGGAUUAUUUGAUUGAAUUGACAACCCAGAUCUACAUAUGCUUCCAGACUGCCCCUGAGAUGUUUCCCUAUGAAGAAUUUCCUGUAACAGAGGUCAAGGUUAACACAGACCUCCACUUUCCAGGGGCCGGGUGUCUGGUGGUGUCCUGUAAAACAGACUCCAAGGCUGCAAAGAAAGAGACGGCAGUCCGGUACUUUAGUGAGUGGAACAGGAAUUGUUAUUGGUGUAUCAGACAAAGGUAGAUUACAUAUUUCCACGCUCUGAUGGAGGUUAAUUUGGCGGUGGCAGAGUUGCGAUAUGAGGAUUGAUUCAAACCUCCUCCCAGUCUCAGAACUCAGUCCUCCUCCUCAUCCUCAACUCUGGAGACUGCAUCCUCUUCUUCUCUACAUCCCCUCAGCAGUCCCACAUCUUCUGCCAAGAGGAAGAAACUCAAAGCAAAAAGAGAUAAAGAGAGAGGAGGAGCCGUGCCCAAGAGAUCCACCACUGCUCAGCGGAGGAGCCGAGCCCAAGAGAUCCACCACUGCUCAGCAGAGGAGCCGUGCCCAAGAGAUCCACCACUGCUCAGCGGAGGAGCCGAGCCCAAGAGAUCCACCACUGCUCAGCGGAGGAGCCGUGCCCAAGA